AGGAAACAGCACAUCAUUUUUUAUAAUUACAUUGUGAACUGCAGAGGGACAAAGAUCAGCAUAAAGAGACGGCAUCAUUCUCUUUGCCACUGACAUAAAUGACACAGUGCUCCAGAAUAACGCCUGCGUGAAGACCAGAGAGACUGUUGGUAUGCACAGCGUCCGGCAGGAGAGGUGCUCCUGCGCCUGCCGCUUGCUUAGUUCUCCAGCGUGGGAGGCUGCUGCACCAUCCCUGGGACCAAUGUGAGUCAGGAGUUACUCUGCUGCGUUAAGGCGUUCGGUGUCCCGCGGCCUCCUCAGGAGGCAUUGUUUAUCAGCUUCCCUCCUUCCAAAUUCUUCUGUUUGUAUAGUGGGAGCUUUUGUGCCAAUUUUUUUUUUUCUUUGCCUGGAGUUAUUGGCAGAGCUAAUUAACUACAGAAUAUAAAAGCCUUGUUCUUGGGGGCCUAGUGGUGUGGUGGCAGCACAGCGUGAGUGCUGCCUGGUGGGCUGGGAGAUGAAUUGUGGGAUGGGUAGCCUGAGGAUGGGCAGAUUAUCUUCACAAAGAUGUACCUAGUUAUUUCCUGCAGUGAAUGCAAUCGCUCGUCUUGAGGGGCUGCGUGCUGCGUCCUUCCCUGCUCUGCUCCGCUCCACCGCUGCACAGAUGGCACCUACGGGGCUGGCAGCAACCUCGGAGAGCACGUAGGUCUUGGCCACUGUAAUGAAAGCUGGUGGACGAGAGAGCGGACUUGCAGGCUCACGUGUGCCUGUGCCAACAGGACGUGAAGGGGUUUGGACGGGUUCAUCUACUCCCUGCGCCUCCCCAGAGGUUCACGGAGCCGAGCCCCGCAGCCGCCCCUGAGGACUGUGCCCCUGGCUGUCACUAGAGGCAAGCG
This is a non-coding RNA of Struthio camelus australis, 872 nucleotides long. Lineage: Eukaryota; Metazoa; Chordata; Aves; Struthioniformes; Struthionidae. The record is from RefSeq and is a predicted model, not a curated record.